RNAcentral lists this long non-coding RNA (778 nucleotides) under Equus asinus (donkey). RNAcentral's name for it is "lncRNA (ENSEASG00005032871.1)". Lineage: Eukaryota; Metazoa; Chordata; Mammalia; Perissodactyla; Equidae. The record is from RNAcentral.
GGGGAGGAGAUGGAAGAUGGGCUGGAGCUGGGUUCUGGUCGUGGACACCGGCCCCACCCCUCGCCGCCCUGUGGUCCUCAGCCUGGAUAGACCCUCAGCCUGGGACCUUCAGCCUGGGUGGACCCUCAGCCUGGAUGGACCAUCAGCCUGGAUGGACCCUCAGCCUGGGACCUUCAGCCUGGGUGGACCCUCAGCCUGGGUGGACUCUCAGCCUGUGAUCUUCUGGAGGGAGUUGGUCCACGUUGGCUCAUCCUGGCAGCAUCACAGGCAUUGCCAAACUCUCGGAACCGCCCGUGGGGCUGGGGCCCGCCUGGGGCACUCUGCUCCUCCUCUGGAGCUCCAGGGGCCCCAGCAAGAUGCUUGGCUUCCAUGACACGUGCUCCGAAGUCCCUGGUGAUGGGGCCUGCUCCAGAGAGAGAUGACAAUUUGGCUCAAAGAGUCGAGAGGACUCUGCCCAGGAUCACACCCCUGGCUCCCUCCAGGAACGGCAGGUCACAGUGAGGAGUCCAGCAUGUGGGAGAAUCUCCAACCAGACGGGUGCCUCUGCUGUGUUGGGAGAUUUAUGUCAUCCAAUAGUCACUCAACAAACACCCCAGGCAUGAAGCAGAGAGUCUGUGUCAUGGCAGGAAAGGGGUAGUCUUUGCCCAGAGACUGCUGUCACCAGGAAGCCUGACCUUUCCUUAGGACAGCAGGAGGUGGGAACUCAGCGUCUUUCAGGCCUCUGUGACCAAGCAGACCUGCUCCCCUGGGCUGGCCUGAGGGUGGCCGUGGAGGGGUG